UGCCAGUAUAUUAACUAUAGGCUAUCUAACUACCCGUGUCAUAGGUUUAUUGACUUGAUUAUUCCCGUCAUUCUUUGUUUAGCUAAAUGUUAUMGUCGUUGUGCGUUCUCAAUGGAUAUUCGGGUGCUUUCGUAAAUUCGCUCUGGCUAUCUACUCCGAUUUCGCCUGAGGGUACGCGCGCUCAACACCGGUUGAAUAUGGCKKGUGUCAGUAAACGUCGGGGRAAAAAGCGUUAUUAAAUUGYUGCAAGCAGCACAUUCAGUCACCAACGCUCUGGAUAACAUGAAAWCUGCCUAACCAGCUGUGCUUGGGUCCUGAAGGACGCCUCACUGUCCUCAGAGCUGUUUGGCUUCUAUGAGAGGACCAUCUCUACCAGCACUCAUGGGUCACCCAAGGCCCAAAUCGCCCUGACAUGUUAGUUUGUCUUGUUUGUUCAAGCUUACCAGCGGUUUUCCUGUCAGCGCCUAUUGUUUCCAAGCCUUGCUUUGCUAGUCCUCCUGGUUUUGACCGAUGGCUGACCCUGCACCGUUGCUCCACCUCUGGAUUGCUGAACCCUGCCUGAGUCUGCCUGCCGUCCUGUACCGUCGCCUAACCCUUGAUUUUCGACCCCUUCCUGCCUUGACCUGUCUUUGCAUGCCUCUGUUUGCUACAGUAAACAGGGUUACUUCGACAGUCUGCAYCUGGGUCUUACCUUGAUUCUUGAUAAGCCUAUACUGUCAGAUCCAAAUCAUGUUUACAUAAAGCAACAUUACCAAAGAUGUCAACAUUCCAGACCUCCAGGACAUGUCCUCAGUUGAUCCAGAGAUGGAACCACUAUAUGGUUAAAUCAUGACUGGACCAAAGACUGGGGCAGCUACUGUAGCCUACRUAUACUGUGUGGAAGUGCUUCUAUUCUGAGUGGUAUAUGGUCAAACGGUAAUUCUGUGUGCUGAGUCUAUGCAUUGGAAUGUCUGCCUUAUUUGUUUAAUAAGAACAAUUAAACAAAUUCCAUGUUAUGAU
Salvelinus sp. IW2-2015 is the source of this 999-nucleotide long non-coding RNA. RefSeq lists it as uncharacterized. The record is from RefSeq and is a predicted model, not a curated record. NCBI's taxonomy places the organism in Eukaryota, Metazoa, Chordata, Actinopteri, Salmoniformes, Salmonidae.